Molecule: ribosomal RNA, 488 nt
Filed under: uncultured Nocardioides sp.
Lineage: Bacteria; Bacillati; Actinomycetota; Actinomycetes; Propionibacteriales; Nocardioidaceae
Description: bacterial SSU rRNA
Rfam family: Bacterial small subunit ribosomal RNA
Source: RNAcentral
AGGACGAACGCUGGCGGCGUGCUUAACACAUGCAAGUCGAGCGGUAAGGCCUCUUCGGGGGUACACGAGCGGCGAACGGGUGAGUAACACGUGAGUAAUCUGCCCUUCACUUCGGGAUAAGCUUCGGAAACGGGGUCUAAUACCGGAUACGACACUUUCAGGCAUCUGAUGAGUGUGGAAAGUUUUUUCGGUGGGGGAUGUGCUCGCGGCCUAUCAGCUUGUUGGUGGGGUAAUGGCCUACCAAGGCUUCGACGGUUAGCCGGCCUGAGAGGGUGACCGGCCACACUGGGACUGAGACACGGCCCAGACUUCUACGGGAGCAGCAGUGGGGAAUAUUGGACAAUGGGCGGAAGCCUGAUCCAGCAACGCCGCGUGAGGGAUGACGGCCUUCGGGUUGUAAACCUCUUUCAGUACCGACGAAGCGAGAGUGACGGUAGGUACAGAAGAAGCACCGGCCAACUACGUGCCAGCAGCCGCGGUAAUACGUA